GACGAACCGUGCGAACGUUAUUCGGAAUCACUGGGCUUAAAGCGCGUGUAGGCGGACGGGGACGUCGGUCGCUGAAAUCCCCCGGCUCAACCGGGGAACAGGCGCCGAAACGCCCCGUCUCGAGGGACGUAGGGGGACCUGGAACUUCCGGUGGAGCGGUGAAAUGCGUUGAGAUCGGAAGGAACGCCCGUGGCGAAAGCGAGGUCCUGGACGUCUACUGACGCUGAGACGCGAAAGCUAGGGGAGCGAACGGG
Molecule: ribosomal RNA, 254 nt
Filed under: uncultured bacterium
Lineage: Bacteria
Description: partial 16S ribosomal RNA
Rfam family: Bacterial small subunit ribosomal RNA
Source: RNAcentral